This 253-nucleotide ribosomal RNA is filed under the name uncultured bacterium. Its description in RNAcentral is "partial 16S ribosomal RNA". It matches the Rfam family "Bacterial small subunit ribosomal RNA", at positions 524 to 776 of the family's 1533-position model. The record is from RNAcentral.
UACGUAGGCAGCAAGCGUUGUUCGGAGUUACUGGGCGUAAAGGGUGUGUAGGCGGUCUUCUAAGUUUGGUGUGAAAUCUCCCGGCUCAACUGGGAGGGUGCGCCGAAAACUGGGAGGCUAGAGUACUGGAUGGGAGAGUGGAAUUCCUGGUGUAGCGGUGAAAUGCGUAGAUAUCGGGAGGAACACCUGUGGCGAAAGCGGCUCUCUGGACCACAACUGACGCUGAGGCGCGAAAGCUAGGGGAGCAAACAGG